RNAcentral lists this ribosomal RNA (103 nucleotides) under Sticta duplolimbata. RNAcentral's name for it is "partial 28S rRNA". It matches the Rfam family "Eukaryotic large subunit ribosomal RNA", at positions 1 to 101 of the family's 3401-position model. Lineage: Eukaryota; Fungi; Ascomycota; Lecanoromycetes; Peltigerales; Lobariaceae. The record is from RNAcentral.
UUGACCUCGGAUCAGGUAGGGAUACCCGCUGAACUUAAGCAUAUCAAUAAGCGGAGGAAAAGAAACCAACAGGGAUUGCCUCAGUAACGGGGAAGUGAAGCGG